CCUACGGGGGGCAGCAGUGGGGAAUAUUGCACAAUGGGCGAAAGCCUGAUGCAGCAACGCCGCGUGAAGGAAGAAGGGUUUCGGCUCGUAAACUUCUAUUAACAGGGACGAAAGAAAUGACGGUACCUGAAUAAGAAGCCCCGGCUAACUACGUGCCAGCAGCCGCGGUAAUACGUAGGGGGCAAGCGUUAUCCGGAAUUACUGGGUGUAAAGGGCGCGUAGGCGGGAUGGCAAGUCAGAUGUGAAAUCCAGGGG
Molecule: ribosomal RNA, 255 nt
Filed under: uncultured bacterium
Lineage: Bacteria
Description: partial 16S ribosomal RNA
Rfam family: Bacterial small subunit ribosomal RNA
Source: RNAcentral